This is a small nuclear RNA of Lynx canadensis (Canada lynx), 104 nucleotides long. Lineage: Eukaryota; Metazoa; Chordata; Mammalia; Carnivora; Felidae. The record is from Ensembl.
GUAUUUGCUUUGGCAACACAUAUAUUAAAAUUGGGACAAUACGGAGAUUUGCAUGGCCGCUGUGCAAGUAUGACAUGCAAAUUUGUGAAGUGUUCCAUAUUUAA